ACCAUUGCAUCAAGCCGGCCCACGAAGGGUGUGCAAGGGUCCACAACCCAGUAACCCUAAAUUAAGGAUUGCAAGCGCCCUGCGCGGCAAAGGCUUCAGGGGUCUUCUUAGACGCGUCUGCCCUUGCCCGCGAUGGAUCAUACCGUCGCCGCUGAACCAGAAAGUGUCACAUGUGCUGGUGCGAUGCAAUGGAAGGUUACGAUGGUGGUUCGUGGUGUGGUGGCAGCAGGCCGACUUGCGCAGUGCGCAACGGUCGAAAGGGCUGGACCCUGCGCUGCUACCCGAAGCCGGAAUUACCACGAGCGAGGGUGCUGCAUAUUUG
Molecule: non-coding RNA, 322 nt
Filed under: Chlamydomonas sp. 3112
Lineage: Eukaryota; Viridiplantae; Chlorophyta; Chlorophyceae; Chlamydomonadales; Chlamydomonadaceae
Source: RNAcentral